Long non-coding RNA from Cyprinus carpio (common carp), 130 nucleotides. RefSeq lists it as uncharacterized. NCBI's taxonomy places the organism in Eukaryota, Metazoa, Chordata, Actinopteri, Cypriniformes, Cyprinidae. The transcript is spliced from 3 exons. The record is from RefSeq and is a predicted model, not a curated record.
AAAACAUCUGCAGUUCUCGUCCUCAGGUCCAGUUUGCUCCUCUACCACCACAGCCCUCUGAUUUCAGGCCCAUUCAUUUCCAUGAUCUUCACAGCUCGGAGAUACCUGUGGCCAACAGCUAUUCCAUUCA